UUUAUUGGCUCCCUGUCUUUGCACUCUUCUGAAUUUUAGAUUAUUGGUUCCAUGUCUUUGCACUCUGCAUAGCGGUAGCCAUACCUCUUAGGUGGAGCUCAUUUCUUUUACUUCAUUGAUUGAUCAUGACAUAUAAAGAUAUAAUUCAUUCUGGUCCAUGCGGUGUUAGUUUGUAGUAGGAAAAUGGUAUAAAAGGUUGCAGUUGGUUCAUUGUGAACUCGUACCAUGCAUUGGAACAGCGUUUCUAUCUAUGUCUCAUCUCAAUUUGUACAUGAAAAAUCUAGGGGAGAUCAAUGAGCACCAUGCAUGUUCCUUCUUACUUACUAUGUAAUAGGAUUAGGAGACAUGGGAAAUAUGGUAACAUGCUUAUGAAUUGAUCGAUGAGCAGAAUGUCUCGGUAAGACACCUUUUGUCCUGAGAUAUAAUUCAUUCCGAUCCAUGCGAUGUUAGUUUAUAGUAGAAAAAUGGUAUAAAAGGUUGCAGCUGGUUCAUUGUGAACUCGUAUCAUGCACUGGGAUGUUGUUCCUAUCUAUGUCUCAUCUCAAUUUGUACAUGAAAAUCUA
RNAcentral lists this long non-coding RNA (563 nucleotides) under Oryza brachyantha (malo sina). RNAcentral's name for it is "long non-coding RNA (OBRA_LNC003208)". The record is from RNAcentral. Lineage: Eukaryota; Viridiplantae; Streptophyta; Magnoliopsida; Poales; Poaceae.